Nylanderia fulva is the source of this 1059-nucleotide long non-coding RNA. RefSeq lists it as uncharacterized. The record is from RefSeq and is a predicted model, not a curated record. NCBI's taxonomy places the organism in Eukaryota, Metazoa, Arthropoda, Insecta, Hymenoptera, Formicidae.
CUCGGCUCGGCGACACUCGGCGCGACUCGGCAAAACUCGGCGACAUUCAGCAAAAUACCGCCAAUUUAUCGGAACUACUGUGCAUACGCGUAACGUUACCAAAUUAUCGCGAUGAUUAAUGUUUGUCCUCGUAGUGUAAUUUUUUUCUAUGAGACUAAAAUAGAUACCACAGAUGAUAUACGAAGAAUAACGUCUUGCAUCUGAACGUAUCGAAACUGUGAUGUGACUUAAACCUUGGAAUCUUAUCACACAAAGAAGUUAAAUAUGACUCAGUCUUACUACGCUUUGUGCCGUCGAGAUAGCCAUCGGAAGCAUCGUGAAAUCACACACCGGUGUACGGAAAAGAACGUAAAAAUAAAAAGAGGAAUCCAGGAGUGGCAGCACGUCAUCAAUAUACCACGGCUCACCUGUCCGUUGUGUCUCGCUAAGUACAACGCCCCUUUGUUCGACAAAUAGAGAAAAAAGGAGCGGAGGGAAAAGGAGGAUAGUUGUGCCUAAGAUGAAAGCAUCGAGAGGCGAACCUCGCGGCCGACUGGAACCCCGCCAAAUAAUAUACCUAUCCACCCUCUUCCCUCUUUUUGCUCCCUCUCCUCUCCGUGAUGAGACAGCAGCCGCGUUACUAUCGGCUGUACGAACACCGUUGGCUCGCCACGGUACUUUUUAUAUUUAUUACGAGGAGGACAUGAGAGAGAGAGAGAGAAGAGAGGCAAGAUUAUCAAGCGACAGAAACGAAGAUGGAGAGAGAGAGAGAAACUGCCGCGGUGCAUAGCGCAGGGAGGAGUCGGAUGAUUCAACCUAUAUUUCGGCUUUUGUCAUAUCGCGAAACGGUAAGCUUCUUCAUCAUCGUCCGAGGAAGGGGGCCUUUUCCACCUGUCGCCGUUUCCCAGAUUCUCCGCGGGCGAACUCUACUCGCACACCUCUAUUCGUAUCUGUCACCGGCGAGUAUCCGGUGAAAAAAACGGCGCAAACAUCGAAAGACUUACGACUCGACGACUUGGAAUUACGACGCCACGAUCUUUUUAUGCUUACGGUUUAUAACAGCCGUGAAAAACAUAUAUA